RNAcentral lists this ribosomal RNA (394 nucleotides) under uncultured bacterium. Its description in RNAcentral is "bacterial SSU rRNA". It matches the Rfam family "Bacterial small subunit ribosomal RNA", at positions 28 to 419 of the family's 1533-position model. The record is from RNAcentral.
GACGAACGCUGGCGGCGUGCUUAACACAUGCAAGUCGAGCGGUAAGGCCCUUUCGGGGGUACACGAGCGGCGAACGGGUGAGUAACACGUGGGUGACCUGCCCUCAGCUCUGGGAUAAGCCUGGGAAACCGGGUCUAAUACUGGAUAUGACUCCAUGACGCAUGUUGGUGGGGUGGAAAGCCUUGUGCGGCUGAGGAUGGGCCCGCGGCCUAUCAGCUUUGUUGGGUGGGGGUGANGGCCUACCAAGGCGACGACGGGUAGCCGGCCUGAGAGGGCGACCGGCCACACUGGGACUGAGACACGGCCCAGACUCCUACGGGAGGCAGCAGUGGGGAAUCUUGCGCAAUGGGCGAAAGCCUGACGCAGCGACGCCGCGUGAGGGAUGACGGCCUGG